ACAUUCGAUUAGGUAGUUGGAAGGGUAGAAGCCUCCCAAGCCGACGAUCGAUAGUCAAGUUUGAUGGAACAGAUGACCACAUUGGGAAUGAAAUAUCCCAAGUAGCAUUAAGCUACCAGCAGUCAAGAAUAUUAGUCAAUGCUCGCAAGAGUGAACUAGCUAACUGAAAUCAACGGUGUGUCAUCGUUGAUAAAGUAAGGGAAAAGAAAUGAUACUACCUUACUAUUAGUGUCGUCCAAGUACUCGUGCCAGAAGACUCGGUAAGGCGAGAGACGCAAACGUUAGUCGUCCUAAUCAGGCGUAAAGGGUUUGUAGGCGGUUUUAAGCAUUUAAUCCUUUAAAAUCACAAUUUUAAUAAUAUUAAAAUAAAAAAGGAAGACAAUCAAUUAAAACUAGAAUCAAGAAGAGGUUAAAUUAAAUAAUACUUGGCGUAAGAUUGGUAUCUAUAGAGACCAAGUGGAAUAUUAACGGCGAAGGCUUUUUUCCAAUAAUGAUUGACGCUAAGAAACUAAGGUGAGGAUAGAAAAAAGGAUUAGAGACCCUAGUAUCCCUCACUGUCAACGAUGAAUGGUAGUUACUAGAUAUGUGAAUAUUUGAAUAUUCAUUACCCCCUAAAGGAGGGGUAAUCCAAAAUCUAGAGGCGAUGUUAACACGAAAACCAUUCCGCCUUGUGAGUACGACUGCAAAGUUGAAAACAAAAAAAUUAGUCGGUUUCGGAGCAAACGAAGUGAAGCAUGUUAUUUAAUACGAUACCCCGCGUAAAAUCUUACCAGUCCUUGCAUAAAACUUUUUUAUUUGUAUUUUGUUUAUAAUGAAAUCUUUUUUAACAUAAUUUGGAUAUUAGUUAAAAUGAAUAUAAAUAAUC
Molecule: ribosomal RNA, 865 nt
Filed under: Xylodon nesporii
Lineage: Eukaryota; Fungi; Basidiomycota; Agaricomycetes; Hymenochaetales; Schizoporaceae
Description: partial small subunit ribosomal RNA
Rfam family: Bacterial small subunit ribosomal RNA
Source: RNAcentral